Non-coding RNA from Chiloscyllium plagiosum (whitespotted bambooshark), 3101 nucleotides. Lineage: Eukaryota; Metazoa; Chordata; Chondrichthyes; Orectolobiformes; Hemiscylliidae. The record is from RefSeq and is a predicted model, not a curated record.
UUUCCCUUUAAAUCUGUUCGGUACAUUCCCAUCUGUACGUCUCUGUUAUAAUGAAGUUGUUUUAUCUUAAGUGGGAAAGAAACAAUUCCUGUCGCAUGUUGUUAAUGAUCGCUGCGAACAAGAUAUGAGCGAAGCAGCAAAAGGCUGGAAGUCAUGUUAACCCAUAGGUUUACCUUUUCUAUUAACCCUACUGUUGCAGCCUCAGGAAGAUUCCUAUGACUCCUCCUGACAGGAGUGGACCAAUACAGUUCCUCGUGUGAAAGUCCGAAAAAGCGAAAUAUAUUAUUGAGUUAUUCACAUUUUAUAUCUGUGUACAUUAAAAUGUAAACACACAAAGAGCCAAACAUAAUUGGAAAAGAUAUAAACCCUAAUAAAUUAGAAAGGGAUUCCAACGAUGUUGUCAUUUUAAAUACAAGUUGUUAUAUUGAUAAUAGGAAAACAAAGGGCUGUAUAUUUUAAAGACCAUGAAGACCACUUUCUGCUUAAUCUGUGAAAGCGUUUGCCUCAGAACUUCCGCCAAAUAGUCGUAAAGACAUGAGCAUUUUGCAUUUGGUACAAAAAUCGGUUACCGUCGCAAUAUACACAAAAGGUACUUGAAAAAAUGAGUUACUGAACUGGAACGGAUAAGUCGCCUGCUGAAUUUGACGAUUAGCUGAUUAUUUAUCACUCCAUUCAGGCAAUACCAGAAAUCUCCAAAGUUGCAUCUUUCAGGACGCCUGAUGUUUGAUUCACACUGGAUUUCGUUCUCCAGAGAUGCACAACGCGAUAAAUGCAGCAAUUUUCUCCAAUGGGCAGCUUUGAAGAACAUGGCAAUUUCAAGCUGCUGGAUGUUAUUUAGUGUAAUAAGAAAUAAAACGAUCCUAUUUCUGAAAUAACAGUGUCUAUCAUCAGUUGAACUACACUGAAAAGGUAAUUGUUUCCUGAUGAUAGAUCCAUUACAGCCGAUCGUGGCCUAAAAUCAUCCAAUGCACCGUGAAAAUGAAGGGCAAAAUCGGUCUUUGCACCUUAAUCAUCAGAGUAAGUUUGUGCCUAGGCCAACAGUUGUAUGCUGCACUCAGUCGAGCCAGCCCCUGGUCCUAGUCAUUGAAUUCUCGGUUGCAAAGGUUAGAAGACCUCAUAUUAGAUAGUUUUAGUUUCUCCCUACCAACAAUUACAAUCAGAGGGAAAUAGUUGAAUCUAGCACACGGGGGCAUUGAAAUUACUGUUUCAAGAGGGUUUAAAUUGUAGCUAAAUUGUGUGUGUGAUUUUUAAAAAUCAUUUUCGAUGUCGUUUCUGUUUCUAAGAAAUAUUUCUAUGAGGGUUAAUAUUAGCGCUCGAUGAUGAAAAAUGCCACAAUGUGCUCCGUAGUUUUAAAACAUCGCAUUUACACAAGGCAGAAUAUCACAGGUUCAAAGCAUAUUAGUCUCGUAAUUAUUUUGACUUGCUGCUGAAGAUCGAUUAUCCGUAACAGUCUUGGUCCCGCGUCCGUGGGAAAUAUCAUCAACAGCCCCACAUGGGGAAACACAACUUGUUUUGAGUAUUGUUCGUCACUGGUUUGUCAUGUCUAUCGAUCGGAACAAUCCAUCAUCACUAGACGAUGUAGAUUAUAAUAUGUUGUGUUAAUUAUUAACGCCGUUCCAAUGUAAGCAUCACUGUAUGUGUGAAAAGAAAUGCAAAGCUUUCUGAAAUAACCAAUUAUUUUGUUUAGUUUUUGUUUAGUUGUUAUCGCUUAUGCUCACGAUCCAGUUGUACAAUGACGCGACGAAGCAAUAUUCCACCACUGGCAUUUCUAUUCUGAUGAGAAAUAAAAUUUUUAUCCUGGAAAAAAUAACAUCCAGCCAAAAAAUAAUGCAAUAGACGAGGGAUGUAGUAGAAAGCGAAGCAGCAUCGUGGUUUCAUUUUCAAAAGUGCUCAAUUAUUAGGACUUUACAAAAGGGAAUCUAAUGGAGGAAAGGCCAAAGGCACUCAGACAGUGGCUGUUCCAUACAUUGCAUCCUAUUAACUCAGGUUGUAACUCUUAAAAGAUGAUAGCAGCAGAUGAUUCCGUGUAAGCGCUGUUUUAGCUCUGACAUUAUUUAUAGAGCCUACUAAUAGCGCUAACAGUGGAAACCAGGGCUAAUUAAGCGUCCUCUCGGAUGCUCGCACCAUUUGACCCGUGUUACUAUCGCUGUCCUGGAGUGCAAAUGGGAAAAGAGAGGACGAGGGUUAACUAACUGAAUCGAUCUACAUAAGAAGCUUUGUUUAUAGUUUAUUAAACAUACAACUUGAAUAGACUAAUUAUCUGCAUGUUACAUAUGUUUGACGACCAAUCUGUCAUCAUGAACAAUGCUUUCACUUUUAUGUGUUGGGAGAUUCGGAACGCUUACAAGAGUUCUAACGCGAAAAGCCUAUCCCUCAGUUUGGCAGCUCUUCUAGCGGAAACAGUGAGAAAGUAACAAAUAUUAUGAAGCAAAAUAUUGGAAAAUGUUACUAUGUGUUUAAGAUGCGAUACAUUAACAAUUAGGAAUGGUAAGAGUAUAGCGCAAUAUUGAACUUUAGUUGCAAUAUUAUUUUAAAAGAUGGAUUUUUAAUAUUAUUUAGAAAUACUUUGGAGGAAAUACAGCCUCGCGUCUACAUGAGCGAAAGUUAUUUUAAUGAGUUUCAACGAGUUUAUACAAAUUAUAGUGAUUAACGAGAUUAUUUGGCAGAUCUCAACAUCACACUCAACUUUUUAUUAUGUUGUCGACGUGUGACACAAUAUGAACAAAGUAAAUUUGAAAUUCACAACGCGGAUAUUAUUUAUUUAAUGUGUUAUGAACAACUGUUGAUAUGCAUCAUGAUUAUACUUGUAUAUCACGUCUCUGCAAUUUUAAGGACCUAUAUUAAAUGUUCCACAUCAACGUUUUGUCUAACUAAUUAUAGUUACAUUUAUUGUCGAUAGGUCUUUGUGAGGUUGUUGAUCACGAUCUUUUAUUUUGUUGCGAAGAUCUGCCUGGAAUAAAGUGAAACAGAUGCUCCUGUGUUUGUCAGCUGUUACUGUUUGUAAAAGGUCAAAGUAGGAGGCAGAGAAGGACCAGGCAACGAAGCAAUUAAGUAGAGAAGGCAGAAUGCUGCAGACUGGCUCCAAAUUUAUACAAGAGAGA